Arabidopsis thaliana (thale cress) is the source of this 69-nucleotide transfer RNA. It matches the Rfam family "tRNA". From Rfam's summary of the family: Transfer RNA (tRNA) molecules are approximately 80 nucleotides in length. Their secondary structure includes four short double-helical elements and three loops (D, anti-codon, and T loops). Further hydrogen bonds mediate the characteristic L-shaped molecular structure. tRNAs have two regions of fundamental functional importance: the anti-codon, which is responsible for specific mRNA codon recognition, and the 3' end, to which the tRNAs corresponding amino acid is attached (by aminoacyl-tRNA synthetases). tRNAs cope with the degeneracy of the genetic code in two manners: having more than one tRNA (with a specific anti-codon) for a particular amino acid; and 'wobble' base-pairing, i.e. permitting non-standard base-pairing at the 3rd anti-codon position. NCBI's taxonomy places the organism in Eukaryota, Viridiplantae, Streptophyta, Magnoliopsida, Brassicales, Brassicaceae. The record is from Rfam.
AGAUCUGUAAGCUCAAAAUGGUAGAGCUCUCAUUAUGAGAGGUUGGUGGUUCGAAUCCAUCCAGAUCUG